GAGGAAAGACACCAAAAAAACACUGUUACACAAACCAAGCUCUCACACGCACACAAAGAAAAUGGCAGAGGAGACCGCCCCGGAACCCGGAUCCGGAUCCGGAAGCUUCUCCUCCGCCGUCAACGGUGGCAAGUCCAUAGAGGAAUGCCAAGACAUGAUCCGGCGGAGUCUCCGAAGUCCAAUGGUGAAGUUUCUGAUGGAGCAUUUGGAGAAGGCGGGGUGCGUGGUUGGGGACAACUUCAUCAAGGCCGUCCAUUGCGACAAGCUGAUUAGCGGCGGUUACGUUCGCGGUGAAGGGAUUAUGGUGUGUAGUAAUCACAUGAGCAUUCAAGAUGAGGUCAACCAAGUGGUGAUACAUGAGCUAAUUCAUGCUUAUGAUGACUGUCGUGCUGCAAACCUGGACUGGGCUAAUUGUGCUCACCAUGCUUGUAGUGAGAUUCGGGCUGGUCAUCUGAGUGGUGAUUGCCACUACAAGCGGGAAUUGCUGCGGGGUUUUAUGAAUAUACGAGGCCAUGAACAAGAGUGCGUGAGAAGAAGAGUCAUGAAAUCAGUGAUUGCUAACCCUUACUGCUCAGAAGCAGCUGCAAAGGAUGCCAUGGAAGCUGUCUGGGAUGUUUGUUACAAUGAUACACAGCCCUUUGACAGAGCUCCCUGAAACAUGAUGAUCACUACUUGCCAAAUGCUAAACCAGCUGUCCCCUUCCAUUUUUCUUGUAGGAAGGGUAUUGUUGCAGCACUGGCUUCGAAGAGACUUGCAGGUGUGGAGAGGUUACAGGAUCUUCAGCAGCAAAUGGGAGUGAAACAAGUAAAUGUGCCAGCGCCAGUGCCUCAGUGGUGGUCGGAGGAUUAUUCUCUACCUCACAGGCGGCGGCCUGUGCACAAUAAGCUGGACCCUUGAGUGAGGCUUCCCUCUCGUUUCCUCUGCUGAGCUAUCUGUUUGUACUUGUAGUGACUAGUUAUUUAGCUGUUAGUGUUUUACAUCUUUUUGUACUGGCUUCUGUUGGCACAACUAUGAGUAAGGCAAUGGAUGAAAAUUCCACAUAAUUGCAACAGCUUCAAAUAGUCUCAGUUCUGUGCAACUGAACACAUUCAAGAAAGUUCAUAAAAAGAUCAUUCUAGUUUUCAGCAAACCGGAGAGCUUGUACAUGAAAUCUUUUGUUUGCUGAAAUCUGUGCUGCUUGAUUGCCAACCUCCAGAACAUGACCCAGGAAGAUUGAAGCGGCCAAGCUCUAGAAGGGUCCAGUUUCAAUAUGCAACCACUCCAUCUUAGUCUUCAAAUCUUGCAUCAUUCAAAUUGACUAAGCUAGAGGCUAGAGGCCGGCAGUCUCUCUUACUAUUAUAUUCUUUAUUACAUAGCCCACUCACUAAUUUGACUGAAAAUGGCCGAAAGAAGAGAAAUGUACUACUUUAUGCUUCUUUUGGGGCAACAUUAUGGGAUUUGCUUGAUUAAACAAAGCAAUGGGAAUGAAA
This is an RNA transcript of Alnus glutinosa, 1469 nucleotides long. It is a transcript of the gene named mitochondrial inner membrane protease ATP23, with no coding region annotated. The transcript is spliced from 6 exons. The record is from RefSeq and is a predicted model, not a curated record. Lineage: Eukaryota; Viridiplantae; Streptophyta; Magnoliopsida; Fagales; Betulaceae.